GGACUACAGGGGUUUCUAAUCCCGUUUGCUCCCCUGGCUUUCGCGCCUCAGCGUCAGUAGAGGGCCAGCGGACCGCUUUCGCCACCGGCGUUCCUUCCGAUAUCAACGCAUUUCACCGCUCCACCGGAAGUUCCGUCCGCCCCUACCUCCCUCGAGCCACGCAGUAUCAAAGGCACUUUUCCGGUUGGGCCGAAAGAUUUCACCUCUGACUUGCCUGGCCGCCUACGCGCCCUUUAAGCCCAGUGAUUCCGAACAACGUUCGCACGGUUCGUCUUACCGCGGCUGCUGGCAC
RNAcentral lists this ribosomal RNA (292 nucleotides) under uncultured bacterium. Its description in RNAcentral is "partial 16S ribosomal RNA". RNAcentral also lists the same sequence under 2 other names. The record is from RNAcentral.